AAGAAUUCUCAUGAUCAAACAAAUUUUUAGAAAAAAAGACAAAUGCAUGGUUCAAAUCUUUGAAAGCACAAACAAAGUGGUGUUUACUAUUAUCCUAUCAUCAAACCAUGAUCAUGAAACAAGUUCUAAACACAAAACUCAUGCCAUACAUUCCAAGGUAACACAUGUUCAAUCAUGAAUCAUACCUAGCACACUUUUCAUCAAUGGAUG
Molecule: long non-coding RNA, 210 nt
Filed under: Lathyrus oleraceus (garden pea)
Lineage: Eukaryota; Viridiplantae; Streptophyta; Magnoliopsida; Fabales; Fabaceae
Description: Pisum sativum (pea) long non-coding RNA (PSAT_LNC027337)
Source: RNAcentral